This 497-nucleotide ribosomal RNA is filed under the name uncultured bacterium. Its description in RNAcentral is "partial 16S ribosomal RNA". It matches the Rfam family "Bacterial small subunit ribosomal RNA", at positions 28 to 507 of the family's 1533-position model. The record is from RNAcentral.
GACGAACGCUGGCGGCGUGCCUAAUACAUGCAAGUCGAGCGAACAGACGAGGAGCUUGCUCCUCUGACGUUAGCGGCGGACGGGUGAGUAACACGUGGGUAACCUACCUAUAAGACUGGGAUAACUUCGGGAAACCGGAGCUAAUACCGGAUAAUAUCUUGAACCGCAUGGUUCAAUAGUGAAAGACGGUUUUGCUGUCACUUAUAGAUGGAUCCGCGCCGCAUUAGCUAGUUGGUAAGGUAACGGCUUACCAAGGCAACGAUGCGUAGCCGACCUGAGAGGGUGAUCGGCCACACGGGAACUGAGACACGGUCCAGACUCCUACGGGAGGCAGCAGUAGGGAAUCUUCCGCAAUGGGCGAAAGCCUGACGGAGCAACGCCGCGUGAGUGAUGAAGGUCUUCGGAUCGUAAAACUCUGUUAUUAGGGAAGAACAAAUGUGUAAGUAACUAUGCACGUCUUGACGGUACCUAAUCAGAAAGCCACGGCUAACUACGUG